This 146-nucleotide non-coding RNA is filed under the name bovine gut metagenome. RNAcentral's name for it is "malK-I RNA". It matches the Rfam family "malK-I RNA", at positions 35 to 180 of the family's 181-position model. The record is from RNAcentral.
CCGCAGAGUACGUAUAAGGAGGAAAAAACAAGCCCGGGCUCGGGCUGCGGCAGUGUGGAGACCUGCCGUAAGGCGGCGCAGUCCAACGCGGCUGGCCGCGAGGGCGCUUCAUGCGGAGGCAGAGCGUCCGGAGCCGAGAAAAUGGC